UACGUAGGUGGCGAGCGUUAUCCGGAAUUACUGGGUGUAAAGGGUGUGUAGGCGGGAAGACAAGUCAGGCGUGAAAUGGAAAGGCUCAACCUUUCAGCUGCGCUUGAAACUGUUUUUCUUGAGAGUGGGAGAGGUAAACGGAAUUCCUGGUGUAGUAGUGAAAUGCGUAGAUAUCAGGAGGAACACCGGUGGCGAAGGCGGUUUACUGGACCACAACUGACGCUGAGACACGAAAGCGUGGGGAG
RNAcentral lists this ribosomal RNA (245 nucleotides) under uncultured bacterium. RNAcentral describes it as "partial 16S ribosomal RNA". It matches the Rfam family "Bacterial small subunit ribosomal RNA", at positions 524 to 768 of the family's 1533-position model. The record is from RNAcentral.